UAUUAUUUCUUUUAUUAUUAUUAUUAUUAUUAUUUGUAUUAUUAUUAGUAUUAUUAUUAUUAGUAGUAGUAUUAGUAUUGAAGUGAUGACCCCUCAAGUGGCUCAAUUGGUAGCUGCUGUCACAAGCUAACAGGGAGAGCUCAAGAAGAAAAGGAGGCACUUGCUGCCAUUGAGUUUGCAAUAGAGGUUAUUUGCUGCUUUGUAUUAGUUGGAAAAAGGAUUAUUUUGAAAGUGUUCUAAGUUUUGUGAACGGUAACAAAAUCAAGGGUAACGAAAUCAAGAUAUCAAGAGUAACUGCAUUGAAUGUGAUCUUGGUUUGUGUCCUUUUCUAUUCAGUAUAGUUGUAGUUUGGCAUCCUUUCCCAGUCUUUAUAUUUUUUUUUGGCAAAUAUUUGUAAAAUGCAUAUAUGACCUUGUUUAAAUGUCUGAUACUGAGUUUGAUUGUUAGGUGUUGUUCUUCUUGUGUUGAUUUAUUUUCAUUUUUUAAUUAGACAUGAGCCAACGGUAGAGCAUGUCAUGUAAAGGGCAGUGGCUUGGUAAUUGAUUCUGAGCUGUUAGUUUAUUGCUUUGGACCUUAAGUUCGCAAAAGACUAUGAUGCUGAUUUCGAAAAGUUUUAUGCUUUGAUAUAUGAAGAAAUUGGUUACAGUUUCCCCUUCUCAUUGAUUAGUCAACUCAGUUUCAUGAAAUUGUAGCAACAUAAUUUUAGAUGAACUUUUGUACAGCGUUCUUGUCAUUCAAGGCAUGUANUUCAAAAAGCUUAAUGCUAAGUGGGAAGUUUAAUGCUGAAUCACAUUUUACUCGUGAGUUGAUUUAAGGUUUCUACACACUUGCAGAAGCAGCUGGCCAGAGAAUAAAAGCUGAUAUGUUUGGAGUCAUUAGUUUGAGCAACAAAAGUAUCACAGUGUGGAGCUUGGAAUAGGNGAUUUGGUCCAAAGAACUGGCAGUUAGAAGCAGCUGUUUGAUUAGGGGAGUGCUUAGCCUAUUCACUUUUGUUUUGUCUUAGCUUGUAAUUGAUAGUAUUGUUGGAUGUCCUGCUGAAUAAGUUUUGAUUUAACUGUACAGUAUCAAUUUGGACAAUCAUUUAACAGCAAUUAGGUUCUUUUCACUA
This is a long non-coding RNA of Vigna radiata var. radiata (mung bean), 1108 nucleotides long. RefSeq lists it as uncharacterized. NCBI's taxonomy places the organism in Eukaryota, Viridiplantae, Streptophyta, Magnoliopsida, Fabales, Fabaceae. The record is from RefSeq and is a predicted model, not a curated record. The transcript has 2 exons.